UAAACCAAAUUGAUAAUAGGUCCCAAAUUAAAAUAAAAAAUCUAAACUAGCUUACAAGAUCUUUAAAUUUUAUUUUAAGGCUCUUGAAUAAGAGCAAAGUCAUAACAGCUCCUCAGGAACCACUAAACUAUAAGGGUAAGGGAAGCGGCUUUAGAAUAUUGGAGAUUGAUUUGCACCUACCUCAGAUCCAUAGCUUACAGAUGCCUUAAAUGAUUUUCUGAAGAUUCAGUAACACUUUUAGUAUCCUAAUCAUUGCCAAUGAAUUCAACUGGAUUCUGUUUCUUCACAGGAAUGGCCAUUGAAGAUAUUAUUUGUACAAAUUCAGCAUUAGGAUCUAAGAGUACUUUAACAGACCUUAGAUCCACCUCAGUAAAAUACAACUCUGAUUGGAGGCAAAGAAUCCUAAUUAAAGGUCUAUUAUUCCCAAAUAUAAAGAAUAGAACUUACAGAUCUAGUUCUCUUACUGGCAUCAGAGAUUCUAGCAAAUGGUCUAGAGAUAACUAAUUGAAAAAAUGUGUUCCAGUAGCUGAAAGAUUCUGGUACUAUUAUUUUCACUUUUAGCCCAAAAACAUGAAUCAUUCAGAGAGUUACUAUCCAGAGAUUUGUUUUUAAGAAUCAUACAGAUCUAAAAAACUGGAAGAAGAAAAACAGCCAUUACCCGAUUAUAUUCCAAUACAAAUAGAAGAUUAAAUACAAGGUUUUGCCUAGUGCCUCAAAGAGAUCAUUCAUGAUACUGCAUCUUUUGCUAUCCCAAUACCAUUAUCAGUACCAUCAUUAUGAUACUUACAUUAGUUUGGAUAGAACCAGAGCUUCUUUAGCCAGAGCAACAGGGAUAGGGAACCUCAAUUUUAUCCCAGAGCUUC
This 863-nucleotide long non-coding RNA is filed under the name Androctonus crassicauda. Lineage: Eukaryota; Metazoa; Arthropoda; Arachnida; Scorpiones; Buthidae. The record is from RNAcentral.